This 253-nucleotide ribosomal RNA is filed under the name uncultured bacterium. RNAcentral's name for it is "partial 16S ribosomal RNA". It matches the Rfam family "Bacterial small subunit ribosomal RNA", at positions 524 to 776 of the family's 1533-position model. The record is from RNAcentral.
UACAGAGGUCCCGAGCGUUGUUCGGAUUCAUUGGGCGUAAAGGGUGCGUAGGUGGCGCGCUAAGUCAGGUGUGAAAUUUCGGAGCUUAACUCCGAAACUGCAUUUGAUACUGGCGUGCUUGAGGACUGGAGAGGAGACUGGAAUUCACGGUGUAGCAGUGAAAUGCGUAGAUAUCGUGAGGAAGACCAGUGGCGAAGGCGGGUCUCUGGACAGUUCCUGACGCUGAGGCACGAAGGUCAGGGGAGCAAACGGG